CGCACAUUGCGCCCCUUGGUAUUCCGGGGGGCAUGCCUGUUCGAGCGUCAUUUCAACCCUCAAGCAAUGCUUGGUCUUGGGCUCUGCCGGGAACGGCUUGCCUUAAAAUUAGUGGCGGUGCCAUUGAGCUCUAUGCGUAGUAGUAUAAUUCUCGCAUUUGGGUCUCCGUGAGUGCUUGCCAGCAACCCUCAUUUUUUUUUGGUUGACCUCGGAUCAGGUAGGGAUACCCGCUGAACUUAA
This 240-nucleotide unclassified non-coding RNA is filed under the name Helotiales sp. RNAcentral describes it as "partial contains 5.8S ribosomal RNA, internal transcribed spacer 2, and large subunit ribosomal RNA". The record is from RNAcentral. Lineage: Eukaryota; Fungi; Ascomycota; Leotiomycetes; Helotiales.